UGGUCCGGAACGUUGGCGCGCCUCUCUCUGACUCUUAUGAGAUCUCUAGCUCCACAGCUUUCGGCAGGGAGAGCCACGAUGGAUGGAAGCUUGGGGCUGAUAGUUGAGAAACCAGCCAUUCUGAAAGAAUAGUGCGAGACGGGCAACAGGCCACCUGAAGACCAGACUGCCUAAAAGAAAACUGCCGAAAUGGCCACCCUAGCCGGGGGGCAGAUGGAAAUACGUGGGUCUGAGACUCCGCACCGAGCCCUCUUUCCCAUAAGCAUCCGUAACUGUCACGAUAGAACGUGGAGCCUCCCUGGCCUCAUCCCAUCUCUCGGAUCAUCGCCGAGCUCCCUGCUGACAGAGGAGGACAACCUGAAAGAUUGGGGUGGAUCGAGGUGGAGAGAAAGCCCCAGUCACAGAGAUUGCCAGCCAAGUGCUUAGUACAGGGCUCUGAGUUUUCUGAAAGAAAGAUGCAGUAUAAAACCAA
Long non-coding RNA from Ornithorhynchus anatinus (platypus), 472 nucleotides. RefSeq lists it as uncharacterized. The transcript has 2 exons. The record is from RefSeq and is a predicted model, not a curated record. Lineage: Eukaryota; Metazoa; Chordata; Mammalia; Monotremata; Ornithorhynchidae.